This 350-nucleotide ribosomal RNA is filed under the name uncultured bacterium. Its description in RNAcentral is "bacterial SSU rRNA". It matches the Rfam family "Bacterial small subunit ribosomal RNA", at positions 28 to 375 of the family's 1533-position model. The record is from RNAcentral.
GACGAACGCUGGCGGCGUGCUUAACACAUGCAAGUCGAGCGGUAAGGCCCUUUCGGGGGUACGACGAGCGGCGAACGGGUGAGUAACACGUGGGUGACCUGCCCUUAGCUCUGGGAUAAGCCUGGGAAACUGGGUCUAAUACCGGAUAUGACUCCAUGACGCAUGUUGUGGGGUGGAAAGCCUUGUGCGGCUAGGGAUGGGCCCGCGGCCUAUCAGCUUGUUGGUGGGGUGGAUGGCCUACCAAGGCGACGACGGGUAGCCGGCCUGAGAGGGCGACCGGCCACACUGGGACGUGAGACACGGCCCAGACUCCUACGGGAGGCAGCAGUGGGGAAGUCUUGCGCAAUGGG